RNAcentral lists this ribosomal RNA (927 nucleotides) under Lacticaseibacillus casei. Its description in RNAcentral is "bacterial SSU rRNA". It matches the Rfam family "Bacterial small subunit ribosomal RNA", at positions 56 to 949 of the family's 1533-position model. The record is from RNAcentral. Lineage: Bacteria; Bacillati; Bacillota; Bacilli; Lactobacillales; Lactobacillaceae. RNAcentral also lists the same sequence under 1 other name.
UGCAAGUCGAACGAGUUCUCGUUGAUGAUCGGUGCUUGCACCGAGAUUCAACAUGGAACGAGUGGCGGACGGGUGAGUAACACGUGGGUAACCUGCCCUUAAGUGGGGGAUAACAUUUGGAAACAGAUGCUAAUACCGCAUAGAUCCAAGAACCGCAUGGUUCUUGGCUGAAAGAUGGCGUAAGCUAUCGCUUUUGGAUGGACCCGCGGCGUAUUAGCUAGUUGGUGAGGUAAUGGCUCACCAAGGCGAUGAUACGUAGCCGAACUGAGAGGUUGAUCGGCCACAUUGGGACUGAGACACGGCCCAAACUCCUACGGGAGGCAGCAGUAGGGAAUCUUCCACAAUGGACGCAAGUCUGAUGGAGCAACGCCGCGUGAGUGAAGAAGGCUUUCGGGUCGUAAAACUCUGUUGUUGGAGAAGAAUGGUCGGCAGAGUAACUGUUGUCGGCGUGACGGUAUCCAACCAGAAAGCCACGGCUAACUACGUGCCAGCAGCCGCGGUAAUACGUAGGUGGCAAGCGUUAUCCGGAUUUAUUGGGCGUAAAGCGAGCGCAGGCGGUUUUUUAAGUCUGAUGUGAAAGCCCUCGGCUUAACCGAGGAAGCGCAUCGGAAACUGGGAAACUUGAGUGCAGAAGAGGACAGUGGAACUCCAUGUGUAGCGGUGAAAUGCGUAGAUAUAUGGAAGAACACCAGUGGCGAAGGCGGCUGUCUGGUCUGUAACUGACGCUGAGGCUCGAAAGCAUGGGUAGCGAACAGGAUUAGAUACCCUGGUAGUCCAUGCCGUAAACGAUGAAUGCUAGGUGUUGGAGGGUUUCCGCCCUUCAGUGCCGCAGCUAACGCAUUAAGCAUUCCGCCUGGGGGAGUACGACCGCAGGUUGAAACUCAAGGAAUUGACGGGGCCCGCACAGCGGUGGAGCAUGUGGUUUAA